Molecule: ribosomal RNA, 481 nt
Filed under: Euobrimus bakeri
Lineage: Eukaryota; Metazoa; Arthropoda; Insecta; Phasmatodea; Heteropterygidae
Description: partial 16S ribosomal RNA
Rfam family: Bacterial large subunit ribosomal RNA
Source: RNAcentral
UGUUUAAUGGCCGCGGUAUUUUAACCGUGCAAAGGUAGCAUAAUAAUUAGCCUAUUAAUUGUAGGCUUGUAUGAAUGGUUGGACGAAAUAAUUACUGUCUCAUUUAUUUUAUUAUAAUUUAAUUUUUUAGUUAAAAAGCUUAAAUUAUUUUGUAGGACGAGAAGACCCUAUAGAUCUUUAUUGUUUUUAUUCUUUUAUUAUUUAGUUUAAAUUUUAUUUUUUGGUAUAAUUUAUUAUUUUGUUGGGGUGACAUGGAGAUAUUUUUAUAACUCUUUAUUUUUUUUUUCAUUUAUUUAUGUUUAUUUGACCUUUUAUUAAUGUUAUAAGAUUAAGAUACCUUAGGGAUAACAGCGUUAUUUUUCUUGAGAGUUCAUAUCGACAGGGAAGAUUGCGACCUCGAUGUUGGAUUAAGAUUAUUAUCAGGUGUAGUGGCUUGAUUAUUAGGUCUGUUCGACCUUUAAAUUCUUACAUGAUCUGAGUU